GCCCUGGUGCUGGAAUUGGUAAAAAGGAAAGGUUGAGGGCCGUGUGUUGCAAGACGUCGGAGUUCGAGUCUCCGCCAGGGCU
This 82-nucleotide transfer RNA is filed under the name Bdellovibrionales bacterium. RNAcentral describes it as "tRNA-Leu". The record is from RNAcentral. Lineage: Bacteria; Pseudomonadati; Bdellovibrionota; Bdellovibrionia; Bdellovibrionales.